AUGCCCCGCACGACCCCGCCCCCCUCACGCCCCGCACGCCAGGAGCGCCCCCCCGCCCCCCCCCCCGUCCCGGACGUCCCGGGCUCGAGGCCAGGAGCGCUCCCCCCGCGCGGGCUGCGGCUGGGGACGCCGGGCCCCCGGGCUCGCCCCUCGGCUCGCGCCCUUACCUUGGGCGAUGGCAAUGGACUCGAAGCGGUGCAGCUCCUUGAGCAGGCAGCUCCUCUCGGUGGAGUGCAGGCUGUAGAUGAAGUCGCGCGCGCCCUGCGCCGUGUUCAGCGCCUCCAUGGGCUCCUUCUUGGGGUGGGUGCCCAGCGCCCGGGAGCCGCCGGGGGCCGCGAGCGCCAGCAGCCCCCGCCCGCAGCAGCACCAGGAGGGCGGGCGGGGCGCGGCGGCGGCGGCGGCGGCGGCGGCGGCGGCCGGGCCCGGCCUCAGGCUGCGCGCGGUCCGGCUCCUCAGCAGCGGCAGCAGCCGGGACAUGGCGGGCUGAGGAGCGGGGACCCCCGCGGCAGUCCGGGACGGCGAUUUCUGGCCGGGCAGCGGAAGCAGCAGCGAGGCUCAGCCCGACCCCGCCCCGAUGUCCUCCUGGCUGGCGGCAGGGGCGCCGGGCACCAUGCGCUCCCCGGGCCGGCGCGGCGCUUCCCUUCCGAAAGGCUCCCGGCGGCUCGGCCCCUCCGACGAGAAAAACUUUCUGUGAGGCGGCCGGGCCCGGAGAGGGCGGGUGGGCGGUGCGGGCGGGCGCCUCCCGGCUGCGGAGGGGCGGCGCGGGCGGGCGGGCGGGCGGGCUUGGCGAGGGUUUGUCUCCGUCAGUUUGAGCUUCCAGAGGAUGAGUCAGCCUCGCGCCGCCCUCCCUCGGCGCCGCCCUCCGCUCCCGCCGGCUUUCCCACCCUCUCGCCCGCCUGCCCUCGGCGGCGCUCCGUCGGGCUCCCGCGCCCUCAAAGCCGCCGCGCGCUCAGGCCGCAGCCUCCGCCGCUACCCCUAGCGGCCGUGCGGGGCUUAGCGGGGCGG
This 1005-nucleotide long non-coding RNA is filed under the name Canis lupus familiaris (dog). RNAcentral describes it as "lncRNA (ENSCAFG00845011401.1)". The record is from RNAcentral. Lineage: Eukaryota; Metazoa; Chordata; Mammalia; Carnivora; Canidae.